AUGGGAUCCGGCAAACGCCCCCUCCCCCCCAUGUUCCGGCGAAGCAGCCGCCCCUCCAUCUCCCAGCGAGGUAGCCGCCGGCGCCGCGGGAUCCGGCAUGCACCUGCCCUUCCAUCUCCCGGCGAGGAAGCCGCCGGCACCGCAGGAUCCGGCGAGGACCCGCCCCUCCAUCUCCCGGCGAGGAAGACGCUGGAUGCCGACGCUGUUGUUCCAGGAGACUUGGCUGCUGCUGGUUCCCGCAAACAUGGCCGCGACACUCCUAUUCUAGCCAAGACCUGGCUGCUGCUGACGGUGGUCGGGGUCGAAGCAGCUCGGGGUCGUCUGUGGCCAGCAGGCCCAACUCCUCGUUGUUCUCGGCGGUGCAAACAGCUCAUCACUGCUGGCGGCAGCGGCGGCGCAGACACCUCACCACCACGCGCAGCGGCAGCGGCAGCGUGGUUGUGCUCGUGA
This 450-nucleotide ribosomal RNA is filed under the name Triticum aestivum (bread wheat). RNAcentral's name for it is "partial small subunit ribosomal RNA". Lineage: Eukaryota; Viridiplantae; Streptophyta; Magnoliopsida; Poales; Poaceae. The record is from RNAcentral.